Molecule: ribosomal RNA, 428 nt
Filed under: uncultured bacterium
Lineage: Bacteria
Description: partial 16S ribosomal RNA
Rfam family: Bacterial small subunit ribosomal RNA
Source: RNAcentral
GUGGGGAAUAUUGGUCAAUGGGGGAAACCCUGAACCAGCAACGCCGCGUGAAGGAAGAAGGCUUUCGGGUUGUAAACUUCUUUGACAGGGGACGAAACAAAUGACGGUACCCUGAAAACAAGCCACGGCUAACUACGUGCCAGCAGCCGCGGUAAUACGUAGGUGGCAAGCGUUGUCCGGAUUUACUGGGUGUAAAGGGCGUGUAGGCGGGACGGUAAGUCAGAGGCGAAAUGUAGGGGCCCAACCCCUGAACUGCAUUUGAAACUAUCGUUCUUGAGUGAUGCAGAGGCAGGCGGAAUUCCGUGUGUAGCGGUGAAAUCGGUAAAUAUACGGAGGAACACCAGUGGCGAAGGCGGCCUGCUGGACAUUAACUGACGCUGAGGCGCGAAAGCGUGGGGAGCAAACAGGAUUAGAAACCCCAGUAGUCC